Non-coding RNA from Pelobates cultripes (western spadefoot toad), 213 nucleotides. The record is from the annotation of a GenBank genome assembly. NCBI's taxonomy places the organism in Eukaryota, Metazoa, Chordata, Amphibia, Anura, Pelobatidae.
UUCCAGUGCAAAAAAGUUCCACGUGGACGAUGUUCUAUUUAGCUCAUGCAUACAGAAUAACAGAAAUCUUGGAGGAGGUUAGGAUACAGUUAGGAAGGGAAUAAAAAAAAUGAUGAAUGUGAUAGAGUUAAUUGGGAAGGCCGGAUAAAAAGUAAGUUAAGAGUUUCUUCAGUGAGGAACACUGGGAGGAUGGAGAAAUAAAGGAAGGGAUUG